Molecule: ribosomal RNA, 484 nt
Filed under: uncultured bacterium
Lineage: Bacteria
Description: partial 16S ribosomal RNA
Rfam family: Bacterial small subunit ribosomal RNA
Source: RNAcentral
AUUGAACGCUGGCGGCAGGCCUAACACAUGCAAGUCGAGCGGAUGAAGGGAGCUUGCUCCUGGAUUCAGCGGCGGACGGGUGAGUAAUGCCUAGGAAUCUGCCUGGUAGUGGGGGAUAACGUCCGGAAACGGGCGCUAAUACCGCAUACGUCCUGAGGGAGAAAGUGGGGGAUCUUCGGACCUCACGCUAUCAGAUGAGCCUAGGUCGGAUUAGCUAGUUGGUGGGGUAAAGGCCUACCAAGGCGACGAUCCGUAACUGGUCUGAGAGGAUGAUCCGUCACACUGGAACUGAGACACGGUCCAGACUCCUACGGGAGGCAGCAGUGGGGAAUAUUGGACAAUGGGCGAAGGCCUGAUCCAGCCAUGCCGCGUGUGUGAAGAAGGUCUUCGGAUUGUAAAGCACUUUAAGUUGGGAGGAAGGGCAGUAAGUUAAUACCUUGCUGUUUUGACGUUACCAACAGAAUAAGCACCGGCUAACUUCGUG